This is a long non-coding RNA of Penaeus chinensis, 583 nucleotides long. RefSeq lists it as uncharacterized. The record is from RefSeq and is a predicted model, not a curated record. Lineage: Eukaryota; Metazoa; Arthropoda; Malacostraca; Decapoda; Penaeidae. The transcript has 2 exons.
CAACCAAACAGUAAAGUUUUGUCAUAUUCACUACCAAAUAAUUAAUUAGUUUGGUCAUUUUAACAAAUUAAAUGUUAAUUAAAGUAUGAUCAAUUCCAGGUCCUCAUCCUCCUCGGUUUGACAGCUUUGGCUGCUGCAGACAGCUUUGAAUCAUACGAAUACAGGCCCUCACACAGGUCAUCUGAGGAGUCCUACGAGUCCAGUGAGGCCAAGUACAACUUCAACUGGGCCGUGAGCGAUGACUCCUCAAGCAACGAGUUCGGACACCAGGAGGCCCGUGACGGCGACCACACUCAGGGAUCCUACUACGUGCAGCUUCCCGACGGCCGCCUGCAGACCGUCAAGUACUUCGUGGACGGCGACUCCGGCUACGUGGCUGAGGUCAACUACGAGGGCGAGGCUUCCUUCGAAUCUGGUUCAGCCGAAUCUCGAGAAUACAGAUACGUGUACGACUCCAACGAGUCCAAGUGAACCACUAGUCAUGUCUAAAAUGUAUAAUUUGUAUAAUAACUGGUUUCUGCAAUGUAUAUUACUUAUCUCGUACAGUUCUAUUUGUAUUUACUUAAAGAAAUGAUAAUCAUAA